This 77-nucleotide ribosomal RNA is filed under the name Bison bison bison. Lineage: Eukaryota; Metazoa; Chordata; Mammalia; Artiodactyla; Bovidae. The record is from RNAcentral.
GUCUCAGGCCGUAUCAGCCUGAAGGCGCCCGAUCUCGUCUGAUCUCGGAAGCUAAGCAGGGUCGGGCCUGGUUAGGA